GGGCCCGUAGCUCAGCUUGGUAGAGCAGCAGGCUCAUAACCUGUAUGUCCAAUGAUUUCCAUUGGACAGGGGAACGGUCGGGCGUUCAAAUCGCCCCGGGCCCACCA
RNAcentral lists this transfer RNA (107 nucleotides) under Candidatus Thorarchaeota archaeon. RNAcentral's name for it is "tRNA-OTHER". It matches the Rfam family "tRNA". From Rfam's summary of the family: Transfer RNA (tRNA) molecules are approximately 80 nucleotides in length. The record is from RNAcentral. Lineage: Archaea; Promethearchaeati; Candidatus Thorarchaeota.